This 399-nucleotide ribosomal RNA is filed under the name uncultured bacterium. Its description in RNAcentral is "partial 16S ribosomal RNA". It matches the Rfam family "Bacterial small subunit ribosomal RNA", at positions 360 to 776 of the family's 1533-position model. The record is from RNAcentral.
AAUAUUGGACAAUGGGGGCAACCCUGAUCCAGCGACGCCGCGUGAGUGAAGAAGUAUUUCGGUAUGUAAAGCUCUAUCAGCAGGGAAGAUAAUGACAGUACCUGACUAAGAAGCCCCGGCUAACUACGUGCCAGCAGCCGCGGUAAUACGUAGGGGGCAAGCGUUAUCCGGAUUUACUGGGUGUAAAGGGAGCGUAGGUGGUUUGUCAAGUCAGAAGUGAAAGCCCAAGGCUCAACCUUGGGACUGCUUUUGAAACUGGCGGACUAGAGUGCAGGAGAGGUAAGUGGAAUUCCUAGUGUAGCGGUGAAAUGCGUAGAUAUUAGGAGGAACACCAGUGGCGAAGGCGGCUUACUGGACUGUAACUGACACUGAGGCUCGAAAGCGUGGGGAGCAAACAGG